This 243-nucleotide ribosomal RNA is filed under the name uncultured bacterium. Its description in RNAcentral is "partial 16S ribosomal RNA". It matches the Rfam family "Bacterial small subunit ribosomal RNA", at positions 15 to 253 of the family's 1533-position model. The record is from RNAcentral.
GAUCCUGGCUCAAGACGAACGCUGGCGGCGCGCCUAACACAUGCAAGUCGAACGAGUGAGAGAAAGCUUGCUUUCUCGGGCGAGUGGCGAACGGGUGAGUAACGCGUGAGGAACCUGCCUCAAAGAGGGGGACAACAGUUGGAAACGACUGCUAAUACCGCAUAAGCCCACGGCUCGGCAUCGAGCAGAGGGAAAAGGAGCAAUCCGCUUUGAGAUGGCCUCGCGUCCGAUUAGCUAGUUGGG